This is a long non-coding RNA of Talpa occidentalis (Iberian mole), 337 nucleotides long. RefSeq lists it as uncharacterized. The record is from RefSeq and is a predicted model, not a curated record. The transcript has 4 exons. NCBI's taxonomy places the organism in Eukaryota, Metazoa, Chordata, Mammalia, Eulipotyphla, Talpidae.
GGCACAGAUGGGCAAAACUUGAAGUCUGAGAAAGCAAACAUUUCCCCCUUAUCAGGAAUCCUUUCGUUGAUUUACUUAGACAAGGUUUUCAGGUUUUGAUACGUGAGCAUAAAGAAGCAAAGGAAGCAAGUGUCUAUGAUGUAUGCAUAUCUGACCAAGAAACAGAAGCAAUCAAACUCACUAUCUGAUGGGUAUGCUGUGACGUGCUUAUCCGGUUACCUGAUCUUGGACAUUUGCUUUGUUUCCAGUUCUUUACCAUGAAAAAUAAGUGGACAGUUAAGACAUGGACACAACCAAGUACCAGACACUUAACAUUGGGAAGGAAGCAUGAUUUCAC